This 440-nucleotide ribosomal RNA is filed under the name uncultured bacterium. RNAcentral's name for it is "partial 16S ribosomal RNA". It matches the Rfam family "Bacterial small subunit ribosomal RNA", at positions 338 to 795 of the family's 1533-position model. The record is from RNAcentral.
CCUACGGGCGGCAGCAGUGGGGGAUAUUGCACAAUGGGGGAAACCCUGAUGCAGCGACGCCGCGUGAGUGAAGAAGUAUUUCGGUAUGUAAAGCUCUAUCAGCAGGGAAGAAAAUGACAGUACCUGACCCAGAAGCCACGGCUAAAUACGUGCAAGCAGCCGCGGUAAUACGGAGGGGGCAAGCGUUAUCCGGAUUUACUGGGUGUAAAGGGAGCGUAGACGGUUAUGUAAGUCUGGAGUGAAAGCCCGGGGCCCAACCCCGGGACUGCUUUGGAAACUGUGUAACUGGAGUGCAGGAGGGGCAGGCGGAAUUCCUGGUGUAGCGGUGAAAUGCGUAGAUAUCAGGAGGAACACCGGCGGCGAAGGCGGCCUGCUGGACUGAAACUGACGUUGAGGCUCGAAAGCGUGGGGAGCAAACAGGAUGAGAUACCCCAGUAGUC